GGGGGGGGCUGGCGUGUGAAGGAGGAAGGAGCUCGGAAUAGGAUGCUGCGCAAGAGAUGGGUAGUGCGUAAUCCUUGUUGUGGGAGAGGACGCGGUGUUGCGCAGUUGGUAUUGGCACGGCCGCUUAACACUUCAUGUCCUCGUGCUCUCUCUCUUUUCUUUUUUUUUUAUGGCGUUAUCGAAUGUCACCGCCUGAUUUUUUUCUACAAACACAAUAACACCGGACGGACUUUCUUCUCACUGACGCGCAGGCAGAAGAAGAGGUUCUCUGCUGUGGCGUUUGCGUAAUUCCCGGCAGGAAACAUGACGCGUCACAAGCGAGCGGCACAACGGUGACGCAGCUUGUUUGGUUUGCUCCAUGUGUUCCAACAACAGUCGCUGCGUCACAGAGAAACCCGGGAGGACCAUUCAUAGUAAUCAGGCUCCUCUUCGUGCGCACUUGAGAAGAUGAAAACAAGCCUUGCUGCCCCGGACAGCAGGGGGCGCUGCCGAGCAACACAAAUCCCUCUGGCGUCACCUAUCUGCUGAGGGACGUUGACGUACAGGUAUUUUUCUCAUCUCUACCUGAAAACAGCUUCUGUACCUUUCCCUUUUUUUCUUUAUCUCUGGGGCUCUGUUUUCUAAUCAUACCAAUGGCACAAACUGUGAUUCUAUAACUCCAAACUUAAUCAUAAUUAUAGAAUUUCCAUAACUUGGCUGUAUUUGUUUGUUCCUCAGAGUUUUGUUCUUUUGCCGUUUAGCAGAUUUGCCUCCACCUGCGUCGGAGCCUGCAAUGGACGCCAGCCAGAGCUCAGCAGGACACGGACACGCCUGAUGUGAUGACACAAGUUGCUGUUGACUCAGAGGCCGCGGGCCUCUUGCACCUUCCUAAUGACCCCUGUGGAGAGAGCAAAAAGGGCGUGUUGCCUUCCUACCUCCGCUUACCUGCCAGAGGGACAGGAGAUGAAGUGCUUUACUCGCCCUCGUAGAGCUUCUGAGGGAGGGGCGCUGCCUCUCGAGUCAAACAAACAGCCGAGCACAGCAGCACAAGAGGCCCCAAAUGAGCUGCUUUCAACUCAGUUUCAUUCAGAGUUCUCGGAGGAAUGUCUCAAUAAUGAGGCAGCCAAAUGCAAUUCCGCCGAGGAUGUUCGGCCAAAAGCCAGAUGCAGCCAGAGAUCACUUCUAAAAGUCAGCGGAGAGUUGACGUGGAUGUUUCUGGGGCCGGCAUCACCUGUAGACCUCUUGAACCGUCCGAGGGAAAAUGUCUGAACGACCCACUGCCUUCUAAAACAGAUCCCUCCUACGCACAGAUUAAAGGAAAGGAGGUGGCCCCGAGCUGAGAGAUGACAGUGCUAAAAUUAAACUCGGAGCGCCGCUGGCCUCGCUAGAUGAUGAUGUAUUAUUAGACAAGUGUGAGGCAGCACUCAUUCGCAGGUAUCAUUAGCAACCGGAAAACUAAUGGGCUGCAAAAUAAGGGGAGGGGGUACUGUAAGCUACUUUGCUGAAACACUUCUUACUGCCAUGAUUAAUCACCUCAAUUGGACUUCUGUAAAGAUUUCUGGAACAUGGACAAUCCUAAGGAGGAGGAGGAAAUAGUGACGCAGCUGGUGUUUCUUUGCAACAUUUGCUGAUAAUCAUUUGGGGAUGCCGGCCAGAUUUCCUCCCUCUCUUCCUGAAGACCUGAUAUGUUUUCACAAAGACACCCAGUAUCCCCGUAGCUAUUUCAAACGGGUAUCUGUACUUUUAUCUGUGGCCAUUCAGCUCAUAGAGUCGCUCCUGUUAUCAGCAGCUCCUCUGAUAUUUCCCAACAACACGAGUCGGAGCCAGAACAGAGUGACAAAGUGUAAUUCGCCUCUUCUAUUUUCAUCCGGCGUGCUGCAGACAGAACAAACAAAGUGUCAGGCUCAUCUGAACGUGUUAAGGAUCCGAAUAUUUACCAGUUUGCUGCACGGAAGAGAAGCUGAGGCAUCUUGGAAGGAGUUAACCAAGCUAUUAAAUGAUCCACAGAGUUUAUGUGUGGUUGAGCAAAUUGAGCAGGAAACUAGGCUCAUGCCACUUUUGGCUUUGAUUCGUUCUGAAAAGUAUCAUGUGAUUCCUGUAAACACAUAAUAGUGACACUUUAAUAGCAAGUUUAACUGUGGUCUUAUAGUCACAAAGCCACAUUUAUAAACAUAUCUGAGCUUGUUCUUUAUAUGUGUUAAUAGAGUAAAGAUAAUAAACUUGUA
Pleuronectes platessa (European plaice) is the source of this 2204-nucleotide long non-coding RNA. RefSeq lists it as uncharacterized. The record is from RefSeq and is a predicted model, not a curated record. The transcript has 2 exons. Lineage: Eukaryota; Metazoa; Chordata; Actinopteri; Pleuronectiformes; Pleuronectidae.